Regulatory RNA element from Clostridium baratii str. Sullivan, 111 nucleotides. It matches the Rfam family "TPP riboswitch aptamer (THI element)". From Rfam's summary of the family: Vitamin B(1) in its active form thiamin pyrophosphate (TPP) is an essential coenzyme that is synthesised by coupling of pyrimidine and thiazole moieties in bacteria. Lineage: Bacteria; Bacillati; Bacillota; Clostridia; Eubacteriales; Clostridiaceae. The record is from Rfam.
AUAUAGAGCUAGGGGAGCCAUAAGCUUUUGGCUGAGAUUGAAAUUUUAAUUUCUAAACCCUUAUUACCUGAUAUGGUUAGUACCAUCGUAGGGAUGCCUUUUGUUUAUGAA